Molecule: ribosomal RNA, 255 nt
Filed under: uncultured bacterium
Lineage: Bacteria
Description: partial 16S ribosomal RNA
Rfam family: Bacterial small subunit ribosomal RNA
Source: RNAcentral
UACGGGGGGGGGCAAGCGUUGUUCGGAAUUACUGGGCGUAAAGGGCUCGUAGGCGGCCAACUAAGUCAGACGUGAAAUCCCUCGGCUUAACCGGGGAACUGCAUCUGAUACUGGAUGGCUUGAGUUCGGGAGAGGGAUGCGGAAUUCCAGGUGUAGCGGUGAAGUGCGUAGAUAUCUGGAGGAACACCGGUGGCGAAGGCGGCAUCCUGGACCGACACUGACGCUGAGGAGCGAAAGCCAGGGAAGCAAACGGGG